GAAAUGCGAUAAGUAGUGUGAAUUGCAGAAUUCAGUGAAUCAUCGAAUCUUUGAACGCAGAUUGCGCCCCUCGGUAUUCCGUGGGGCAUGCCUGUUCGAGCGUCAUCUACACCCUCAAGCUCUGCUUGGUGUUGGGCGUCUGUCCCGCCUCCUUCGCGCGCGGACUCGCCCCAAAUCCAUUGGCGGCGGCCCUUGCCUCCCUCUCGCGCAGCACAUUGCGCUUCUCGAGGCGCGGCGGACCGCGUCCAGCAAGCAACCGUCACACCGUCUUUGACCUCGGAUCAGGUAGGGAUACCCGCUGUACUUAAGC
This 310-nucleotide unclassified non-coding RNA is filed under the name plant metagenome. RNAcentral describes it as "partial contains 5.8S ribosomal RNA, internal transcribed spacer 2, and large subunit ribosomal RNA". The stretch from base 1 to 105 matches the Rfam family "5.8S ribosomal RNA", at positions 50 to 154 of the family's 154-position model. The record is from RNAcentral.